Molecule: unclassified non-coding RNA, 269 nt
Filed under: uncultured fungus
Lineage: Eukaryota; Fungi
Description: partial contains 5.8S ribosomal RNA, internal transcribed spacer 2, and large subunit ribosomal RNA
Source: RNAcentral
AACGCACAUUGCGCCCAUCGGUAUUCCUUUGGGCAUGUCUGUUUGAGCGUCAUUACAACACCUCAGCGCAAGCUGGUUUUGAGCUGUAAGGGUUCGCUUCGGCUGCCCUUCCGCUUUAAAGUUGUAAGCUCUGCUGGCUUCCAGCCUGACCGGAAACAUAGUAAAUUUCUUGCCUUGUUUAUGGAUAGGUUGCGAGGUUCGGCCUGAACAACACCUUCAAUUUUUCUAGGUUUGACCUCAGAUCAGACAAGGAUACCCGCUGAACUUAA